This 69-nucleotide transfer RNA is filed under the name Fukomys damarensis (Damara mole-rat). It matches the Rfam family "tRNA". Rfam says of the family: Transfer RNA (tRNA) molecules are approximately 80 nucleotides in length. Their secondary structure includes four short double-helical elements and three loops (D, anti-codon, and T loops). Lineage: Eukaryota; Metazoa; Chordata; Mammalia; Rodentia; Bathyergidae. The record is from Rfam by way of RNAcentral.
GAGAGUGUAGUUCAGUGGUGGAGCACUUGCCUAACAUGUUUGAGAACCUAGGUUCAAGCCCUAGCACCA